RNAcentral lists this ribosomal RNA (1369 nucleotides) under uncultured bacterium. RNAcentral describes it as "bacterial SSU rRNA". It matches the Rfam family "Bacterial small subunit ribosomal RNA", at positions 28 to 1381 of the family's 1533-position model. The record is from RNAcentral.
GACGAACGCUGGCGGCGUGCCUAAUACAUGCAAGUAGAACGCUGAAGAGAGGAGCUUGCUCUUCUUGGAUGAGUUGCGAACGGGUGAGUAACGCGUAGGUAACCUGCCUUGUAGCGGGGGAUAACUAUUGGAAACGAUAGCUAAUACCGCAUAACAAUGGAUGACACAUGUCAUUUAUUUGAAAGGGGCAAUUGCUCCACUACAAGAUGGACCUGCGUUGUAUUAGCUAGUAGGUGAGGUAACGGCUCACCUAGGCGACGAUACAUAGCCGACCUGAGAGGGUGAUCGGCCACACUGGGACUGAGACACGGCCCAGACUCCUACGGGAGGCAGCAGUAGGGAAUCUUCGGCAAUGGGGGCAACCCUGACCGAGCAACGCCGCGUGAGUGAAGAAGGUUUUCGGAUCGUAAAGCUCUGUUGUAAGUCAAGAACGAGUGUGAGAGUGGAAAGUUCACACUGUGACGGUAGCUUACCAGAAAGGGACGGCUAACUACGUGCCAGCAGCCGCGGUAAUACGUAGGUCCCGAGCGUUGUCCGGAUUUAUUGGGCGUAUAGCGAGCGCAGGCGGUUUGAUAAGUCUGAAGUUAAAGGCUGUGGCUCAACCAUAGUUCGCUUUGGAAACUGUCAAACUUGAGUGCAGAAGGGGAGAGUGGAAUUCCAUGUGUAGCGGUGAAAUGCGUAGAUAUAUGGAGGAACACCGGUGGCGAAAGCGGCUCUCUGGUCUGUAACUGACGCUGAGGCUCGAAAGCGUGGGGAGCGAACAGGAUUAGAUACCCUGGUAGUCCACGCCGUAAACGAUGAGUGCUAGGUGUUGGAUCCUUUCCGGGAUUCAGUGCCGCAGCUAACGCAUUAAGCACUCCGCCUGGGGAGUACGACCGCAAGGUUGAAACUCAAAGGAAUUGACGGGGGCCCGCACAAGCGGUGGAGCAUGUGGUUUAAUUCGAAGCAACGCGAAGAACCUUACCAGGUCUUGACAUCCCGAUGCUAUUUCUAGAGAUAGAAAGUUACUUCGGUACAUCGGUGACAGGUGGUGCAUGGUUGUCGUCAGCUCGUGUCGUGAGAUGUUGGGUUAAGUCCCGCAACGAGCGCAACCCCUAUUGUUAGUUGCCAUCAUUCAGUUGGGCACUCUAGCGAGACUGCCGGUAAUAAACCGGAGGAAGGUGGGGAUGACGUCAAAUCAUCAUGCCCCUUAUGACCUGGGCUACACACGUGCUACAAUGGUUGGUACAACGAGUUGCGAGUCGGUGACGGCAAGCUAAUCUCUUAAAGCCAAUCUCAGUUCGGAUUGUAGGCUGCAACUCGCCUACAUGAAGUCGGAAUCGCUAGUAAUCGCGGAUCAGCACGCCGCGGUGAAUACGUUCCCGGGCCU